AUGGCGACCACCACCACCCUUUUCCAUCCGCUCUCCGUGCCCAUCGCCGGGGGACGCGUCCGGCGCUGCCCCCUCACCCUGCUCGCCCCGGCCCGCACGGCCCCCCGGCGGCCGACGCCCCUCCUCGUCGCCCGCGCCAAGCGCACCAAUAACUCCACCGCUGCCCCGAAGCGAGAGGCGGACGAGGAGGUCGAGGUCGAGGAGGAGCUGCCGUGGAUCCAGGACAAGGCGCUGGACCUCGUCGAGUUCACCGGCACCGUCACGCAGGCCAUCCCUGGCCCCCGCGUCGGCUCCAGCCCCGUGCCGUGGCUCCUCGCCGUGCCGCUCGCCUACGUCGGCGUCUCCUUCGCCCUCGCCGCCGUCCGCACCUUCCGCAGGUUCACCUCCCCGCGCACUCAGAAGAAGAAGAGGGUGACCAAGAAUAUAUUUUUGUUGAAGUCACUAGACGAGUUGUUUCAGAAGGGCAGGGAAGCAGUGGAUUUUCCAGCUCUUCAAGAACUAAUGCAAAAGACAGGAUUUGACAUGGAUGAUGUAGUAAGAAAGUACAUCCGAUACACACUGAAUGAAAAACAAUUCAAUCCUGAUGUGGUUGUGGAUCUCAUACAUCUUAGGAAAGCAUCGAUGUUAGAAGAUAAUGAAGUUGCCGAAAUUCUGAAUGAGAUAUCUAGACGAAUUGUUCGGGAAAAAGGUCCAAUAGUUAUGGACUUAUCUGGGUUUACAGAGCAAGGUUUUAAGCGGAAGCUUGCUGUGCAAACAUUGUUCGGAAAAAUCAUGUACUUAUCAGAGCUCCCAGAGUUCUGUUCCCGGGACGGCUCGCUUGUUGUCAAAGAAAUCUUUGGAGUUACAGACGAGGAUGCAGACAGCCUUCGCAGUCGUACCCUUUCUGAAGCUGGUGAUAUCGAGUCGUUAGAAAGGAUGGUCGAUGAUUCUGAUGAACAUGGUACCCCAUCAUCAUCUUGA
RNAcentral lists this ribosomal RNA (960 nucleotides) under Triticum aestivum (bread wheat). RNAcentral describes it as "partial small subunit ribosomal RNA". Lineage: Eukaryota; Viridiplantae; Streptophyta; Magnoliopsida; Poales; Poaceae. The record is from RNAcentral.